AACGCACGAGACCUGCGGACCUGCGGAAGGAUCAUUAAUGAGAAGCUGCCCCUCGUGGGUAGACCUCCCACCCUCUGUGAACUUACCUUUGUUGCUUUGGCAGGCCCGUCCUCUGGACCGCCGGCUUCGGCUGGCCCGUGCCUGCCAGAGGAUUCCAAACCCUGUCUGUCAGUGUUGUCUGAGUCUAUAUGAAAUCGUUAAAACUUUUAACAAUGGAUCUCUAGAUCGGAAGAGCACACG
RNAcentral lists this unclassified non-coding RNA (240 nucleotides) under soil metagenome. RNAcentral describes it as "partial contains 5.8S ribosomal RNA, internal transcribed spacer 2, and large subunit ribosomal RNA". The record is from RNAcentral.